RNAcentral lists this ribosomal RNA (468 nucleotides) under uncultured bacterium. RNAcentral describes it as "partial 16S ribosomal RNA". It matches the Rfam family "Bacterial small subunit ribosomal RNA", at positions 28 to 507 of the family's 1533-position model. The record is from RNAcentral.
GACGAACGCUGGCGGCGUGCUUAACACAUGCAAGUCGAACGGAAAGGCCCUGCUUUUGUGGGGUGCUCGAGUGGCGAACGGGUGAGUAACACGUGAGUAACCUGCCCUUGACUUUGGGAUAACUUCAGGAAACUGGGGCUAAUACCGGAUAGGAGCUCCUGCUGCAUGGUGGGGGUUGGAAAGUUUCGGCGGUUGGGGAUGGACUCGCGGCUUAUCAGCUUGUUGGUGGGGUAGUGGCUUACCAAGGCUUUGACGGGUAGCCGGCCGGAGAGGGUGACCGGGCACAUUGGGACUGAGAUACGGGCCAGACUCCUCCGGGGGGGAGCAGGGGGGAAUGUUGCAGAAUGGGCGGACGCCUGAUGCAGCAACGCCGCGUGCGGGAUGACGGCCUUCGGGUUUUAAACCGCUUUCGCCUGUGACGAAGCGUGAGUGACGGGAAUGGGUAAAGAAGCACCGGCUAACUACGUG